This 253-nucleotide ribosomal RNA is filed under the name uncultured bacterium. RNAcentral's name for it is "partial 16S ribosomal RNA". It matches the Rfam family "Bacterial small subunit ribosomal RNA", at positions 524 to 776 of the family's 1533-position model. The record is from RNAcentral.
UACGGAGGGGGCUAGCGUUGCUCGGAAUCACUGGGCGUAAAGCGCGCGUAGGCGGAUCUUUAAGUCAGGGGUGAAAUCCCGGGGCUCAACCUCGGAACUGCCUUUGAUACUGGGGGUCUUGAGUUUGAGAGAGGUUGGUGGAACUGCGAGUGUAGAGGUGAAAUUCGUAGAUAUUCGCAAGAACACCGAUUGCGAAGGCGGCCAACUGGCUCGACACUGACGCUGAGGCGCGAAAGCGUGGGGAUCAAACAGG